Molecule: ribosomal RNA, 524 nt
Filed under: uncultured bacterium
Lineage: Bacteria
Description: partial 16S ribosomal RNA
Rfam family: Bacterial small subunit ribosomal RNA
Source: RNAcentral
GACGAACGCUGGCGGCGUGCCUAAUACAUGCAAGUCGAGCGCAGGAAGCUGACGGAACUCUUCGGAGAGAAGGCAGUGGAAUGAGCGGCGGACGGGUGAGUAACACGUAAGGAACCUGCCUCAAGGAUUGGGAUAACUCCGAGAAAUCGGAGCUAAUACCGGAUAGUUCAACGGACCGCAUGGUCCGCUGAUGAAAGGCGCUUCGGCGUCACCUCGAGAUGGCCUUGCGGUGCGUUAGCUAGUUGGUGGGGUAACGGCCCACCAAGGCGACGAUGCAUAGCCGACCUGAGAGGGUGAUCGGCCACACUGGGACUGAGACACGGCCCAGACUCCUACGGGAGGCAGCAGUAGGGAAUCUUCCACAAUGGACGAAAGUCUGAUGGAGCAACGCCGCGUGAGUGAUGAAGGUUUUCGGAUCGUAAAACUCUGUUGUAAGGGAAGAACACGUACGAGAGGGAAUGCUCGUACCUUGACGGUACCCUACGAGAAAGCCACGGCUAACUACGUGCCAGCCGCCGCCGUAA